GAUGAACGCUGGCGGCGUGCCUAAUACAUGCAAGUCGAGCGAACGGACGAGAAGCUUGCUUCUCUGAUGUUAGCGGCGGACGGGUGAGUAACACGUGGAUAACCUACCUAUAAGACUGGGAUAACUUCGGGAAACCGUAGCUAAUACCGGAUAAUAUUUUGCACCGCAUGGUUCAAAAGUGAAAGACGGUCUUGCUGUCACUUAUAGAUGGAUCCGCGCUGCAUUAGCUAGUUGGUAAGGUAACGGCUUACCAAGGCAACGAUGCAUAGCCGACCUGAGAGGGUGAUCGGCCACACUGGAACUGAGACACGGUCCAGACUCCUACGGGAGGCAGCAGUAGGGAAUCUUCCGCAAUGGGCGAAAGCCUGACGGAGCAACGCCGCGUGAGUGAUGAAGGUCUUCGGAUCGUAAAACUCUGUUAUUAGGGAAGAACAUAUGUGUAAGUAACCGUGCACAUCUUGACGGUACCUAAUCAGAAAGCCACGGCUAACUACGUG
Molecule: ribosomal RNA, 497 nt
Filed under: uncultured bacterium
Lineage: Bacteria
Description: partial 16S ribosomal RNA
Rfam family: Bacterial small subunit ribosomal RNA
Source: RNAcentral